CAACUGCCAGAUUAUAUCCAGGUGUAAUGAUAAGUCGUUAUCCUAAGGCUAUUUUUUUCUUAUUUUUUCUGUACACUUAGCUUUCAUUUUUUAUUACCAUGCAUUGUCAAGCUUGGUAACUCAUAAUUAUUUGUCAGUAACUAAAUGUACGAUGCUGUCCCAUACUGAACCUUCUGACCUUGUUUGUUUACAUUUUAAUUUC
RNAcentral lists this long non-coding RNA (202 nucleotides) under Mytilus galloprovincialis (Mediterranean mussel). Lineage: Eukaryota; Metazoa; Mollusca; Bivalvia; Mytilida; Mytilidae. The record is from RNAcentral.